This 487-nucleotide ribosomal RNA is filed under the name uncultured delta proteobacterium. RNAcentral's name for it is "bacterial SSU rRNA". It matches the Rfam family "Bacterial small subunit ribosomal RNA", at positions 935 to 1417 of the family's 1533-position model. Lineage: Bacteria; Deltaproteobacteria. The record is from RNAcentral.
GAGCAUGUGGAUUAAGUCGACGCCAAAGCGAAGAACCUUACCUGUGGAAUGACAUCCCUGUGAAUGCAGUGAGAGAUCAGAGAGUGCCUUCGGGAACACAGUGACAGGUGCUGCAUGGCUGUCGCCAGCUCGUCUCGUGAGAUGUCCUGGUAAAGCCCAGCAACGAGCGCAACCCUUAUCGUUAGUUGCCAGCACAUAAUGUUGUGAACUUUAGCGAGACUGCCCGGGUUAACCGGGAGGAAGGCGGGGAUGACGUCAAGCCGUCAUGCCCCUUAUACCCAGGGCUACACACGUGCUACAAUGGUAAAUACAGAGGGCAGCGAGCCGGUGACGGUGAGCGAAUCCCUAAAGUUUAUCUCAGUCCGGAUUGGAGUCUGCAACUCGACUCCAUGAAGGUGGAAUCGCUAGUAAUCGCGGAUCAGCAUGCCGCGGUGAAUAUGUUCCCCGGCCUUGUACACACCGCCCGUCACACCAAGCGAGUUGAUCA